Molecule: transfer RNA, 61 nt
Filed under: Hemithyrsocera vittata
Lineage: Eukaryota; Metazoa; Arthropoda; Insecta; Blattodea; Blattellidae
Description: tRNA-Arg
Source: RNAcentral
AAAUAAGAAGCAAUUUGCAACUAGUUUCGACCUAGUCAUUGGUAUCAUAUACCCUUAUUUA